This 1094-nucleotide ribosomal RNA is filed under the name uncultured picoeukaryote. Its description in RNAcentral is "bacterial SSU rRNA". It matches the Rfam family "Bacterial small subunit ribosomal RNA", at positions 28 to 1164 of the family's 1533-position model. The record is from RNAcentral.
AAGGAACGCUGGCAGCGUGCAUAACACAUGCAAGUCGAACGAUGAAGCAUUCUUCGGAAUGUGGAAGAGUGGCGAACGGGUGAGGAACACGUAAGAAUCUGCCCCUCGGUCGGGGACAACUUUUGGAAACGAAAGCUAAUACCCGAUACGCUGUGGAGUGAAAGAAUUUCGCCGAGGGAUGAUCUUGCGUCUGAUUAGCUAGUUGGUGCGGUAAUGGCGCACCAAGGCGACGAUCAGUAGCUGGUCUGAGAGGAUGAACAGCCACAUUGGAACUGAGACACGGUCCAAACUCCUACGGGAGGCAGCAGUGGGGAAUUUUCCGCAAUGGACGAAAGUCUGACGGAGCGACGCUGCGUGAAGGAUGACGGCCUGCGGGUUGUAAACUUCUUUUCUCGAAGAAGAAGCUCUGACGGUAUUCGAGGAAUAAGCAUCGGCUAACUCCGUGCCAGCAGCCGCGGUAAGACGGAGGAUGCAAGUGUUAUUCGGAAUGAUUGGGCGUAAAGCGUCUGUAGGCUGUAUAGAAAGUCUUUUGUUAAAUACCUCGGCUCAACCGAGAUCCAGCAAAGGAAACUUCUAUACUUGAGGUAAGUAGAGGUACAGGGAAUUCCCGGUGGAGCGGUGAAAUGCGUAGAUAUCGGGAGGAACACCAAUAUGGCGAAGGCACUGUACUGGGCUUUACCUGACGCUCAGAGACGAAAGCUAAAGGAGUGAUUAGGAUUAGAUACCCUAGUAAUUUUAGCCGUANACGAUGAANACUCACUGCCGAGCGAAAUACAACGAGCGGUGGUCAAGCUAACGCGUGAAGUUUUCCGCCUGGGGAUUACGCUUGCAAAAGUGAAACUCANAGGAAUUGACGGGGACCCGCACAAGCGGUGGAGUAUGUGGUUUAAUUCGAUGCAACACGAAGAACCUUACCAGGGUUUGAAAUCAUUUCAAAACUCCUUGAAAGAGGAGCCUCCUUCGGGAUGAAAUGACAGGUGGUGCAUGGCUGUCGUCAGCUCGUGUUGUGAAAUGUCGAGUUAAGUCUCGUAACGAGCGCAACCCAUGUCUCUUGNUGCUCAUUGNNNGNUUAANANNNNCUGCCGACCAANNUC